Molecule: small RNA, 27 nt
Filed under: Bombyx mori (domestic silkworm)
Lineage: Eukaryota; Metazoa; Arthropoda; Insecta; Lepidoptera; Bombycidae
Description: ovarian small RNA-11794
Source: RNAcentral
AGAAUAUGGACUAACUUUCAACUGGAG